GCAGCGAAAGGUGCUUGCACCUUUCAAGCGAGUGGCGAACGGGUGAGUAACACGUGGAUAACCUGCCUCAAGGCUGGGGAUAACAUUUGGAAACAGAUGCUAAUACCGAAUAAAACUUAGUAUCGCAUGAUACAAAGUUGAAAGGCGCUACGGCGUCACCUAGAGAUGGGUCCGCGGUGCAUUAGUUAGUUGGUGGGGUAAAGGCCUACCAAGACAAUGAUGCAUAGCCGAGUUGAGAGACUGAUCGGCCACAUUGGGACUGAGACACGGCCCAAACUCCUACGGGAGGCUGCAGUAGGGAAUCUUCCACAAUGGGCGAAAGCCUGAUGGAGCAACGCCGCGUGUGUGAUGAAGGCUUUAGGGUCGUAAAGCACUGUUGUAUGGGAAGAAAUGCUAGAAUAGGGAAUGAUUCUAGUUCGACGGUACCAUACCAGAAAGGGACGGCUAAAUACGUGCCAGCAGCCGCGGUAAUACGUAUGUCCCGAGCGUUAUCCGGAUUUAUUGGGCGUAAAGCGAGCGCAGACGGUUGAUUAAGUCUGAUGUGAAAGCCCGGAGCUCAACUCCGGAAUGGCAUUGGAAACUGGUUAACUUGAGUGUUGUAGAGGUAAGUGGAACUCCAUGUGUAGCGGUGGAAUGCGUAGAUAUAUGGAAGAACACCAGUGGCGAAGGCGGCUUACUGGACAACAACUGACGUUGAGGCUCGAAAGUGUGGGUAGCAAACAGGAUUAGAUACCCUGGUAGUCCACACCGUAAACGAUGAAUACUAGGUGUUAGGAGGUUUCCGCCUCUUAGUGCCGAAGCUAACGCAUUAAGUAUUCCGCCUGGGGAGUACGACCGCAAGGUUGAAACUCAAAGGAAUUGACGGGGACCCGCACAAGCGGUGGAGCAUGUGGUUUAAUUCGAAGCAACGCGAGACCUUACAAGGUCUUGACAUCCUUUGAAGCUUUAGAGAUAGAAUGUG
Molecule: ribosomal RNA, 961 nt
Filed under: Leuconostoc lactis
Lineage: Bacteria; Bacillati; Bacillota; Bacilli; Lactobacillales; Lactobacillaceae
Description: bacterial SSU rRNA
Rfam family: Bacterial small subunit ribosomal RNA
Source: RNAcentral